RNAcentral lists this ribosomal RNA (253 nucleotides) under uncultured bacterium. RNAcentral describes it as "partial 16S ribosomal RNA". It matches the Rfam family "Bacterial small subunit ribosomal RNA", at positions 524 to 776 of the family's 1533-position model. The record is from RNAcentral.
UACGUAGGGGGCAAGCGUUGUCCGGAAUCAUUGGGUGUAAAGCGCGUGUAGGCGGUCCGGUAAGUCCGCUGUGAAAGUCGGGGGCUCAACCCUCGGAUGCCGGUGGAUACUGUCGGGCUUGAGUACGGAAGAGGCGAGUGGAAUUCCUGGUGUAGCGGUGAAAUGCGCAGAUAUCAGGAGGAACACCAAUUGCGAAGGCAGCUCGCUGGGACGUUACUGACGCUGAGACGCGAAAGCGUGGGGAGCAAACAGG